GAUGAACGCUGGCGGCGUGCUUAACACAUGCAAGUCGAGCGAAGCACUUUUUUAGAACUCUUCGGAGGGAAGAGAGGGUGACUGAGCGGCGGACGGGUGAGUAACGCGUGGGCAACCUGCCUUACACAGGGGGAUAACAAUUAGAAAUGAUUGCUAAUACCGCAUAAGACCACGGCCUCGCAUGAGGGAGUGGUAAAAACUGAGGUGGUGUAAGAUGGGCCCGCGUCUGAUUAGGUAGUUGGUGGGGUAGAAGCCUACCAAGCCGACGAUCAGUAGCCGACCUGAGAGGGUGACCGGCCACAUUGGGACUGAGACACGGCCCAA
Molecule: ribosomal RNA, 324 nt
Filed under: uncultured bacterium
Lineage: Bacteria
Description: bacterial SSU rRNA
Rfam family: Bacterial small subunit ribosomal RNA
Source: RNAcentral